UACGAAGGGGGCUAGCGUUGUUCGGAAUUACUGGGCGUAAAGCGCAAGUAGGCGGAUUGUUAAGUCAGGGGUGAAAUCCCGGGGCUCAACCUCGGAACUGCCUUUGAUACUGGCAAUCUCGAGUCCGGAAGAGGUGGGUGGAAUUCCUAGUGUAGAGGUUAAAUUCGUAGAUAUUAGGAAGAACACCAGUGGCGAAGGCGGCCCACUGGUCCGGUACUGACGCUGAGGUGAGAAAGCGUGGGGAGCAAACAGG
This 253-nucleotide ribosomal RNA is filed under the name uncultured bacterium. RNAcentral's name for it is "partial 16S ribosomal RNA". It matches the Rfam family "Bacterial small subunit ribosomal RNA", at positions 524 to 776 of the family's 1533-position model. The record is from RNAcentral.